Molecule: unclassified non-coding RNA, 282 nt
Filed under: Hevea brasiliensis (rubber tree)
Lineage: Eukaryota; Viridiplantae; Streptophyta; Magnoliopsida; Malpighiales; Euphorbiaceae
Source: RNAcentral
ACCUCUCGUGGAUCUAUCGCUUCCUCUGCUUCUCUCUCAGGUUUCUAUUCUUCAGUCAGUCUUCUCCCCCUCUCUGCGCAAAACCCUCUCUCUGCUUGUGCGUUUGAAAAUCUGAAAGUAUUGGUUAAAUACAAAACCCCAAGAUUUAUCAUAAACCCUAAUUCUAGUGGGUUUAUAAAACACAUACUCUUGGAUCUGUGACCCCAUCAUCGUCAAUCAUCAUCAUCAUCUAGCCUGCUAUUUUGAAUUUUUGAUCUUCUUAGCUGCGCGCUUUUGUGGCGG